Molecule: non-coding RNA, 168 nt
Filed under: uncultured Eubacterium sp.
Lineage: Bacteria; Bacillati; Bacillota; Clostridia; Eubacteriales; Eubacteriaceae
Description: Lysine riboswitch
Rfam family: Lysine riboswitch aptamer
About the family: Riboswitches are metabolite binding domains within certain messenger RNAs that serve as precision sensors for their corresponding targets.
Source: RNAcentral
GAGAUAGAGGUUGCGUGAUUUAUGAGUAGACUGCCGUAUGUACCGUUUCACAGAUGAGGGCAGUCAAAAGGAAAUCAUGCCGAAAGGAUAUACAGGAGCGGCUGUGUGUUACUUGGGCACAAUGUGAAGAACACUGUGACUGUCAUCGGAGACGAUGGGGCGCUAUCA